This 685-nucleotide ribosomal RNA is filed under the name Sticta fuscotomentosa. Its description in RNAcentral is "SSU rRNA". It matches the Rfam family "Bacterial small subunit ribosomal RNA", at positions 375 to 1127 of the family's 1533-position model. Lineage: Eukaryota; Fungi; Ascomycota; Lecanoromycetes; Peltigerales; Lobariaceae. The record is from RNAcentral.
GCAAUAGCUGAUUGCAUUUAUUUAAUUUAAUGUGAUUACUACUUGGUAGUUUAAAUUUCUAGGUAGAAUUAUGAUGAUGACAUUAUCUAUCUAUUAGUCUUGACCAAAUUACGUGCCAGCAGUCGCGGUAAUACGUAAAAGACAAGUGUUAUUCAUCUUUAUUAGGUUUAAAGAGUACCAAGACGGUUAAUAAAGCCCAAAAUAAAUGAAUACGGGGGACACAUUAACUAGAGUUAUAUGAAAUGAAGCUAUAAGGUACUGUUGAGUGUAGAGAUGAAAUUUAAUAAUACCAGAUGAUUGGCACAGAUUAAUGCGAAGGCAUCUUCUUAUGUAAUAACUGACGUUGUAGGACGAAGGCUUAGGGUGUGAACAGGAUUAGGUACCCCAGUAAUCUAGGCAGAAAAUGAUGAAUGUCAUAGGUUUAAUUAUUGUGUCUAUAAAUGAAAGUGUAAGCAUUCCACCUCAAGAGUAAUUUGGCAACAUUGGAACUGAAAUCAUUAGACCGUUUCUGAAACCAGUAGUGAAGUAUGUUGUUUAAUUAGAUGAUACACAAGAACCUUACCACAAUUUGAAUAUAUAUAAAUUAUAUUUACAAGCGCUGCACGGCUGUCUACAGUUAAUGUCGUGAGAUUUUGGUUAGCUCCAUAAAAUUGACGUAAACCCUAAUUUUAUUUAUAAAUAUAAU